UUGCGUACAAUCAGUUAUUUCACUUAUGAAAUGGUCAAUAACCAGAAGAAAAUUGCCACGGAGGGCAAUUUUAGGAAGCAUAGGCAUGGAUGCCGUUGCUUCCGGCUCGUCCGGUUCCAUUAUUUUACCCAUUUCAUUAGUGAAAUCUGAUUGGAAGCUC
This is a regulatory RNA element of Lachnospiraceae bacterium 28-4, 160 nucleotides long. The record is from Rfam. Lineage: Bacteria; Bacillati; Bacillota; Clostridia; Lachnospirales; Lachnospiraceae.